This 414-nucleotide RNase P RNA is filed under the name Chthoniobacter sp. RNAcentral describes it as "RNase P RNA component class A". It matches the Rfam family "Bacterial RNase P class A". From Rfam's summary of the family: Ribonuclease P (RNase P) is a ubiquitous endoribonuclease, found in archaea, bacteria and eukarya as well as chloroplasts and mitochondria. Its best characterised activity is the generation of mature 5'-ends of tRNAs by cleaving the 5'-leader elements of precursor-tRNAs. Lineage: Bacteria; Pseudomonadati; Verrucomicrobiota; Spartobacteria; Chthoniobacterales; Chthoniobacteraceae. The record is from RNAcentral.
GGCGGUUGGCAGAUGAUCGCUGUCGGCGCAAGCCGGCAGAGGAAAGUCCGAACACCACAAGGCAGCAUGCCGCGCAGAAUGCGCGGAGGCGCCGGGCGAAAGUCCGGUGCGAUGGAAAGUGUCACAGAAAACAAACCGCCCGCGGCGCAAGUCGCGGGUAAGGGUGAAAAGGCGGGGUAAGAGCCCACCGCCCGGCGCGCGAGUGCCGGGGCACGAUAAACCCCAUGCGGUGCAAGACAAAACAGGGAGCCGGGCCGCCUGCCCAGCCGCGCCUUCGGGCGUGGCACUCCCGGGUAAUAGUCGCAUCAGCACGCCGCAAGGCGUGCGGCGGUCCGCGCAAGCGGGCUGAGAGAAAUGAUCAUCACUGGCGCGGGCAACCGCGCCGGAACAGAAUUCGGCUUAUCGCCGCCAAAA